GAUAUGUUUCCUGUGUGUUAAGUAUGUUCUCAUUUAGUUUAAACAAUAUUUAUUCAGAUAAAUCAAUAUUGUUUAAACUAAAUGAGAACGUACUUGACACACAGGGAACAUAUC
RNAcentral lists this small RNA (114 nucleotides) under Mytilus galloprovincialis (Mediterranean mussel). The record is from RNAcentral. Lineage: Eukaryota; Metazoa; Mollusca; Bivalvia; Mytilida; Mytilidae.